RNAcentral lists this transfer RNA (99 nucleotides) under Phaeomonas parva. It matches the Rfam family "tRNA", at positions 5 to 66 of the family's 71-position model. From Rfam's summary of the family: Transfer RNA (tRNA) molecules are approximately 80 nucleotides in length. The record is from RNAcentral. Lineage: Eukaryota; Pinguiophyceae; Pinguiochrysidales; Pinguiochrysidaceae.
AUAUAGCUCAGUCGGCAGAGCGUUAGCCUUUUACCUCCGGGCCCCUACGGCACCGUGAAGAACAGCCAGCUAAUGGUCGCGGGUUCGAACCCCGCUAUG